CAGUCCUUGUCACGGUAUACGAUUCGUGUUGCUGUGUUGACGUCAAAUCCGGUCUGUUAUUUCUUACGUUGGAUUUAAAUCCGUGUGACAAAAGGAAAAGAAAACACUUUCUGUUUGAACGUAGGAGACACAUUCGUUUCAGGAAGACAAGGUCCAGAGACAGAACGUCACUACGCUUCCAAAUCAAGUCACUACGAUUUGUCCACGCGACAAGUUUUAGCAGCCAAUUGUUGGGUAUUUCUGAUCCUUUAAGACUGAAUUGACCUUGUGUUCGAAAUGAGUGGGGAAAAGAAUUAUAGUCAACUGAAAUACUAUGCUACCAGUGGUGACAACGUGGACAGUGAGUUGGACAACUUUGGAGUUGAGAAUGAUGCCAAUCUAUCAAGUACAUCAGAGUCCAGGGUAUUAUUCAGUAAAUCCAAUAAAGGU
Stylophora pistillata is the source of this 429-nucleotide long non-coding RNA. The record is from RefSeq and is a predicted model, not a curated record. NCBI's taxonomy places the organism in Eukaryota, Metazoa, Cnidaria, Anthozoa, Scleractinia, Pocilloporidae.